Non-coding RNA from Heterocephalus glaber (naked mole-rat), 4673 nucleotides. The record is from RefSeq and is a predicted model, not a curated record. Lineage: Eukaryota; Metazoa; Chordata; Mammalia; Rodentia; Bathyergidae.
UUUUGGCUGGUUGCAACCAUAUGUUAAGUCAGGAGUGAGGUGGCUGACGAGCCGGGAAACCUCCCCUGACCCCGAGGUUCCUGACGAGGAACAAGGGAAGAUUUAGUUUCAGUUUGUCGUGGUGCCCAUUCAUCUUGUCUUUUGUAUGUUAAUGUUGUGUCUGUUGUGUGUUUGAUUUUACAUUUUUUUCUUUCUAAUCUUCAUCAGGAGCAGAGUAAUGGGAGGAACCUGUUCUACCGGGUCCACUCCGCUUGACUGCUUUCUCACUAAUUUUAAAUUGGCUUUUUCUCCAGAACAAGAAGAUGAAUAUGGGGUGAAAUUUUCUCGAGGAAAACUCCACUCCCUGUGCCAACUGGAAUGGCCAGCCUUCAGGGUGGGAUGGCCAGCCGAAGCGACUUUUGACCCCAGUGUUUGCCGGGCGGUUUGGGGCAAAGUCACUGGUAGCCCUGGCCACCCAGACCAAUUUCCCUAUAUAGACAUCUGGGUUCAGGCUUGUGAGAAACCUCUGGCUUGGCUGCAGUGCUGUUCCCUCUGAACAGACACUCGCAUUUUAGUCGCUGCCCUAAAAGGGCCCUGGGAACUUAAACCCCGGGCUCCUAAGCCAGUUCUCUCACAGGAACCUGACCCCCUGGAUCCCUUAGGAGGGCCUCCACCCUAUGUGGAAUCCUCCACCCCCUCAGAUGGCUCCCGCUCUAGACCCCGCAAUCCUUCCCUUCCUCCGUCUGUUCAACCUUCGGCUCCUACUCCUCUCUAUCCUCCUCUCCCUGAGGGGCCUCAGUCCCCGGACUCUGUGACUUCUCCCCCCCACACAUGAGCUGGGGCUGUGUAUAGGCCUCCAAGGUCCCCACUGGGGAAAUUAGUUCGGCCCCUCUCUUGCCCCUUCGGGAGACAGAACAAGGUCACUAUGUUUAUAUCCCUUUCACUACCAGUGACAUAUAAUUGGAAACAUCAAAAUCCUCCCUUCUCAGAGAAGCCCCAAGCCCUAAUAUCUCUCCUAGAGUCUAUCUUCCAUACCCAUGAUCCUACUUGGGAUGAUUGCCAACAACUCCUCCAGGCCCUUUUUACCUCAGAGGAGAGGCAAAGGAUCCGGGGACAAGCUGUGAGGUCGGUACUAGGUGGACCAGAAGGCCCCCUAGAUGACCAACAGUGAGCCUGUCUGGAAGCACAGCUCCCAUCCACCCGACCCUGCUGGCAAACUAAUACCUCGGGCAGGAGAGAAGCUCUCCAGAGCUAUCAUCAUCAUCUCCUGGCCAGCCUGAGGGGAGCUGCUUGGAAGCCUACCAAUUUGAGCAAGGUAAGUGAGGUCCUUCAAGGACAAGAGGAAUCCCUUUCUGCCUUUUUGGAGCAUCUGUUGGAAGCAUACCAUACGUAUACUCCAAUUGAUCCAGACACCCCUGCAAAUUGGCAGGCAAUAAAUUUGGUAUUUGUUACCCAGUCGGCCCCAGACAUUAGAAAGAAGCUACAAAGACUAGAAGGAUUUGAGGGAGAGAAUAGAGAAAAGUUGAGCCAUGAAAGGGAGGGAGCAAGGGAAGGAUUCAACCCCUAUUAGAGAAAGAUCAAUGUGCCUAUUGUAAGGAAAAGGGCCAUUUUAAGAAGGACUGUAAAAAGCUAAAAAGAAAAAAAAAAAAAGGAGACCCAAAAGGAAAAAGGUGAAAUCCUCUUAGUAGAUGAAAAAGAUUGACGGGGCCAAGGCUCAUGGCUGCUCAACCCUAGUGAGCCUAUGGUGACUUUGGAGAUAGGGGGAACAGAUGUUCAGUUCCUUGUGGACACUAGUGCAGCCCACUCUGUCUUGAAGACGCCCCUUGGACCCCUCACUUCCUCAAAAACCUCCAUUACUGGAGCCACUGGGAAAGUGGCCUCCUACCUUGGACCACUAGAUGGACUGUGAAUCUAGGAAAAGUCACCGUCACCCAUUCCUUCUUAGUUAUCCCUGAGUGCCCAUACCCAUUGCUGGGAAGAGACUUGCUAUGAAAGUUGGGGGCUAUUAUUUCCUUUGAGCCUGAAAGAGGGACCUUUGAGCUUAAGCCACCCUCCACCAUUACGGUGACGGUUCCCCUAGAAGAUGAAUUUAGAUUGCUAAAGGAGGGUGCAGAGCUCCCCGAACAAAAAUGGGACUACCUUCAGAAAAAGUUUCCCAGGGUAUGGGCUGAAACCAAUCCACCUGGGCUGGCCAACCACCAUGCCCUGGUGGUGGUCCAGUUGCUGGCCUCUGCUGCCCCCAUCUGUGUGCGACAAUACCCCCUCCAGCUGGAGGCCAAGGUGGGAAUCUCUAAGCACAUCCACUGACUCCAAGAGGCUGGCAUCUUGGUCCCUUGCCAGUCAUCCUGGAAUACUCCCCUGCUUCCUGUGAGGAAGCCUGGCACCUCAGACUUCAGACCGGUACAGGAUUUGUGGGAGGUGAACAGCUGGAUGGAGAGUGUCCACCCAACAGUACCAAACCCCUAUACUCUGCUGAGUCUCAUCCCUCCUGCCCAUGUGUGGUAUUCAGUACUAGACCUUAAAGAUGCAUUUUUCAGCAUACCUCUGGCACCAGUGAUCCAACCCUUCUUUGCCUUCGAGUGGACUGACCCAGACACUGGGACUACUGGACAGCUGACAUGGACCCAGCUGCCACAGGGAUUCAAGAACUCUCCCAUUCUGUUUGGGGAAGCUCUCAGCAAAGAUUUACGAGAGAUUUGACUCCAAGACCCUUGAACCCCCGCUGGAAGGGACCAUUUCCCAUCGUACUGGUGACUCCCUCAGCAGUGAAGGUAGCUGGACACUCUGCCUGGAUCCACCGCAGCCAUUUAAAGGCAGCACCCCCGGAGGAAGCGACAUCAACAUGGCUGAUAGAUCGGAACACAAAGGACCCCCUCAAGAUAAGAUUGAUCAAAGACUAGUUUGGACAAUAUGGGGGUUCUUGGGACUACUGUUCUUACCAGCCCCAAUGGAAGGGGGACCUGGACACCAGCUGGUGUUGUCCAGCCACACUCCCCAGAACUGGACUUGGUCCUUGAAAAAUGCCUUAACGGGAGCUCACAUUGCCACCAUUACUACUGAUAGACAGCCCCAUUUUAUUAUACACCUGUGUUCUCUGGGGCUUCCAAUCAUUAGUGGUGGUGGGGGGGCUGGAUCAAAGGGUAAAGUUUCAUCUGGAAAGAUGGGUAAAGGGGGUCAUGGAGGGAAGUGUGGAAUAGAUGAUAAGUUGAAAAAAACUCUCCAAGAUAUAGAUAUUUAUGCUUGCCCCAUAGGAAAAAAUAAAAGGUACAAUGGGGGACCAGGAAACCACUGUCAUCAUUGAGGUUGCAAAUCUAUUGCCCCGUGAAAAAACAAUGAUGCGUACUUGGCCUUGGAACGACAAACACCAAGUGGUUCAUGUUCCAAAGGAAAAUGUAAUCCCAUCAAGCUAACCUUAAAACAAUGACAAAAUCCAUAUAAAGAUUGGGAAAAAGAAAAAUCCUGGAAGUGAGACUCUAUGUGGGUGGAAAGGACCCUACGACUGACCUCCUCAUCCAGCGUAGCCCAGUAAUAGUACUGCCUAAACCAGUAGGCAACAUUUAUAGGGUCUCCAGCCCCUAAGAAAAAAAAAAGACAAAAGGAACCUAUAAUGUGUCAUUAGUUGCUCCUGAAUCUCUGAUCCAACCAUACCUAAAAACCCUGGAUGACAUGUACACCCUGUUAAAUGAGUCUAGCCCCAAUCUUACUCAAGGGUGUUGGCUGUGUUUGAGUCCACAUCCCCUGUAUUAUGUAGGGUUGACAGUAAAUGGCACCUUCUCAGAAGCUGACCAAAAUGAGUGUGAUUGGAAACAACCGAGGUUGUCAAUUGGGGAUAUAAAAGGAAAAGGGUUAUGUGUUAAAAAUCCAAGUGUUACAUCAUCUUAUCUGGACAGUAUAUGUUCUUAUCAGACACCCACCGUCAGUAAUAAAAAAUAUUUAAAAGCUGAAAACAAUACAUGGUGGACAUGUACAAAUGGUAUAACUCCCUGUUUAUCCAUGACAGUCCUCAAUCAGGAACUUGAGGUAUGUGUAAUGGUCCACAUUUUACCCCAAGUCACUAUAUAUGGAAAAGACCAGGGUUGGAAAUACCUAGCUAAGAGAACACACACCCGAGAGAAGUGCCACCCAACAUUGAUUCCUGUGUUAACUGCAGCAGGCAUUGCGGGAUCAGCGACUCUGGGUGUGACUGCAAUAGGACUGCAAGACUUUAAUUUCAAGAUCCUUGCCCAACAGGUAACAAUAGACUUAGGCCUACUUACCGAGUCAGUGUCUCAUUUGAAAAAACAAGUUGAUUCUCUGGCUGAGAUGGUCCUUCAAAACCGCGGAGGACUUGACCUCGGAUUUAUAAAAGAGGGAGGGCUAUGUGCAGCCCUAGGAGAACAAUGUUGCUAUUAUGCUAACAAAUCUAAAAUAAUAAGAGAAACUCUGGCCACUGUAAAUAAACAUCUACAAAAAAUUAUAAUAGAUUGAUAAAACAGGAGGGAUGGUUCCAGUCAAUGUUUAACUGGUCUCCCUGGAUGACUACCCUUGUUUCUGCCCUUGCUGGACCCCUGUUAAUCUUGUUACUAGCUUUGACUUUUGGCCCAUGCAUUAUUAAUAAGCUUAUGGCCUAUGUAAGGGCCCAGAUAGGAUCUGUUCGUCUAAUGAUUUUAAAUCAACAGGCCAAAUAUCAUCCUUUAAGUGAGCUAGAUAAAAAA